AAUAGAUGACGCUGUUGACUUUUGGGCACACGUUUGACUAUUUGUCUUAUUCAAAAAUUUUACGUUAUUACAAUUUAUUUUGUUAUGAGUUAUUUUAUCACUAAAAAUACUUUUAAGUAUGAUUUAUAUCUUAUGUAUUUGUAUAAAAUUUUUGAAUAAGACGAAUGAUCAAACAUGUAUCCAAAAGUCAAUGGCGUCAUCUAUU
RNAcentral lists this microRNA precursor (205 nucleotides) under Oryza punctata. RNAcentral's name for it is "MIR812 microRNA precursor family". It matches the Rfam family "MIR812 microRNA precursor family". The record is from Rfam by way of RNAcentral. Lineage: Eukaryota; Viridiplantae; Streptophyta; Magnoliopsida; Poales; Poaceae.